Pelobates cultripes (western spadefoot toad) is the source of this 245-nucleotide non-coding RNA. Lineage: Eukaryota; Metazoa; Chordata; Amphibia; Anura; Pelobatidae. The record is from the annotation of a GenBank genome assembly.
UUCAUCAAUGGUUUUAUAGUGUGUAGCAAUAUUUGCACUAUGUUUUGUCCUCUAUUGUAGGUACAUCAGCAGAAUCCCAAAUAUCCUAUCAAUAACAUUGUUCUGCUAUAAGGUUAUCAGCUGGGAAAUAACCUUGGGAAGCUGUGUACUUUUCAGUUAAGUUGUUGUGUUUCAUCACUUCUUUCACGGGUGUCCGUGUUUUUUGUUUGUUUGUGUCAGUCACAACCAGGGGAAGUGUGACUAGG